CUCUGCCGCCUUCUUCUCACUUUCUUUGCCUUCAGUCUUUCCCAGCACCAGGGUCUUUUCCAAUGAGACGGCUUUCCGCAUCAGGUGGUCAAAGUAUUAUGACAUGUCAACAGCUACAAUCUGUAACGCGAUAGAGUGAAAAUAUCAGGGAGAAACCGGAAGGCAAGGAAGCGGAGGGGAGGGGCGCUGGGUGCUGGGGGCGGGGAAGGCCAGCGACAGUCUCCCAAGGGGACGUCUGAGCAGACGGCGGUGGGAGCCUGAGCCUGCGGAUGGGUGGGGAGUGCUGCAGGCAGAGUGUACAGCAGGAGCAAAGGCCUGAGGCAGGAGCGCAGGCACCCGUCUGUGGACCAGCCAGGAGGCUGGCGUGCUGGAGCAGAGGGAGGGAGGUGGGGCAGAGGCCCUAACAGGAGGCAGGCGGCGAUCAGGUGCCUGCCGGGCUGUGCUCUUGGAGUGAGAUGGAAAGCACCGGAGGAGUUCUGAGCACAGGAGGGACGUAGUCUGGUUUCUUGUUCAGAGUACCUCUUUGUCUGUUGGCAAAGAAUGGACAAAGAGAACAACGAGGAGGCAGGGCAGAAGCGGAGAGACCGCUGGGGAGGCUCCUGCAAUAAUUUAGGGCAGAGAGGGGAGUGGCAGCUUCCUAUGAGAAAGCCUUGCCAGGCAGUUAGGGUGUGAGGACAAGCGGGAAUGGGGUGGCAAAGCGAUGUCUGAGCCAGUGGAUCCUGGCCUAUAGGACUCUCAUGGGCCAGGGAGGAGCUGGAAAGGACGAAGAAUCCAUAUUCCCACUGGGUACCCAUAGACGGGAUAUACCUAACAUGUGUAUAUAUCUUUAUUUUAAUCUAUUGCAGAUGCUGGGGUCCUAGAAAUAAUGUUAAUUUAAAAAUGUUGCUGAUACGUUGUCUGUUUUGAAUGCAUUCUGUAGUGGAUCCUACCCGUUGUUCUGUUGGUGGUGUGGAUGGAUUGGGGGUGGGAGCCAACCCACUGCAGACACGGAGGUGGAUUUUGCAUGCAGACAGCCUGGUUUGCAGGUGGCUCUGCCACUGCAAGCCAUGACCCUGAGCAGGGUAUUUCACAUCUCUGAACCUCCAUGUAUCCAUCUGUGUAGUGGAGAUGACAGGACCUGCCCCGGGGCGGGGACUAUUGU
This 1141-nucleotide long non-coding RNA is filed under the name Capra hircus (goat). RNAcentral describes it as "lncRNA (ENSCHIG00010022297.1)". Lineage: Eukaryota; Metazoa; Chordata; Mammalia; Artiodactyla; Bovidae. The record is from RNAcentral.